GCUGGGUGCAGUGGCGCACACCUGUGAUCCCAGCAGCUCAGGAGGCUGAUUCAGGAGGAUGGCGAGUUCAAAGCCAGCCUCAGCAACAGCAAGGAGCUAAGCAACUCAGUGAGACCCUGUCUCUA
Molecule: small RNA, 125 nt
Filed under: Marmota monax (woodchuck)
Lineage: Eukaryota; Metazoa; Chordata; Mammalia; Rodentia; Sciuridae
Source: RNAcentral